GGUCCUGUGGGGCUCAGUUGGUAGAGCAUGGCACUUACAAUACCAGGGUUGUGGGUUUAAGUCCUACGGGGGACCA
Salmo salar (Atlantic salmon) is the source of this 76-nucleotide non-coding RNA. Lineage: Eukaryota; Metazoa; Chordata; Actinopteri; Salmoniformes; Salmonidae. The record is from Rfam.